AGAGUUUGAUCCUGGCUCAGAGCGAACGCUGGCGGAAUGCUUAACACAUGCAAGUCGCACGCCCCGGCAACGGGGAGUGGCGGACGGGUGAGGAACGCGUAGGAACAUGUCCAGAGGUGGGGGACAACCCUGGGAAACCGGGGCUAAUACCGCAUACGGCCUGAGGGCCAAAGCCGAAAGGCGCCUUUGGAGCGGCCUGCGUCCGAUUAGCUUGUUGGCGGGGUAACGGCCCACCAAGGCUCCGAUCGGUAGCUGGUCUGAGAGGACGAUCAGCCACACUGGGACUGAGACACGGCCCAGACUCCUACGGGAGGCAGCAGUGGGGAAUAUUGGGCAAUGGGCGCAAGCCUGACCCAGCAAUUCCGCGUGGGUGAAGAAGGUCUUCGGAUUGUAAAGCCCUUUCGGCGGGGACGAUGGUGACGGUACCCGCAGAAGAAGCCCCGGCCAACUUCGUGCCAGCAGCCGCGGUAAUACGAAGGGGGCUAGCGUUGCUCGGAAUCAUUGGGCGUAAAGGGCGCGUAGGCGGCCUUGUUAGUCAGGCGUGAAAUCCCCGGGCUCAACCCGGGGACUGCGCUUGAUACGGCAAGGCUCGAGGGUGGAAGAGGGCCGCGGAAUUCCCAGUGUAGAGGUGAAAUUCGUAGAUAUUGGGAAGAACACCGGUGGCGAAGGCGGCGGCCUGGUCCAUUUCUGACGCUGAGGCGCGACAGCGUGGGGAGCAAACAGGAUUAGAUACCCUAGUAGUCC
Molecule: ribosomal RNA, 744 nt
Filed under: uncultured bacterium
Lineage: Bacteria
Description: bacterial SSU rRNA
Rfam family: Bacterial small subunit ribosomal RNA
Source: RNAcentral